Molecule: long non-coding RNA, 965 nt
Filed under: Macaca mulatta (Rhesus monkey)
Lineage: Eukaryota; Metazoa; Chordata; Mammalia; Primates; Cercopithecidae
Description: lncRNA (ENSMMUG00000040895.2)
Source: RNAcentral
UGACAUAUAAAGAACAUCUACCAGCCUGCCUCAGUUGGUAGGUGCUCAACACACAUUUCAUACCUCCCCUCGCUUCCAACCGGGUUUCCCACUCCUAAGAGCUCCUCGCUAUGACCGACCUAGUGACCUCUGCCCAUUGGAGUUCCUGGUGCUCAGAUCCUGCCAUCCAUGUCCCUCACAGCCAUUUCCCUGCCUCUAACUCACUUUAUGGAGGAUCUAAACUGCUCUGUUCAUGAGCCAAGCUUGACAGGGGAGGAAAUUAUCAGCACCUCUGCCACUCAGUCCGCAGUUUGGGUCUGGAAUCGAGUCUCCUAUUGUUGAAGGCCUUUGACGCUCAUCCUGACUCCUGAUCGAUGAAUUAUUUGGUCGACUGAGGCAGAAUCACCUUUACUGGAGCAUAAUCUGUUGGAGGCGGCAUCUCCUGAAGUCUCCAUGAGUUGCUGGAAGGAAGGUAUGAACAAAAUGGUGGGUGAAGAAGCUAAGACUGGGGAUGCUGCUGGCAGGAUAGAGUGCCUCAGGGCUGGGCAGGCUCAGGUUGAAGUCAGCAGCACUAAUAUCUCCUAGAGGGGUUUAAUACUCUGAGGAAGGGCAGGCACUCAGAGGGGCCGAGGGUGUGAAAACACCUGGUAUCCAAUGGGGAGGAGCAAGGAGCUGUGCAAUGGGACCAGGUGUGGCAGGUGCUUUGAGGAGGGCUGAGGUUGGGCAGGUUAGGCCUUGACAGCCUGGGAGGCUUCUGCAGGGGUGCCUAGCUCUUUUUGUACUCCUUCUCCACCAAUCUGGCUCUCACUGUCUAGAUGUAAUAACGAGGGAGGUCUUGCAUGGCUAUACUGUGUGCCCGGCAUUGCACUUCCCAUGAACUGCAGCUGUUAGGCAGCUGGGCCCAUGUGGGCCAGUCUCAAAGGGCUGCAUUUAAAGAAGCAUAGCACAAGCAGGAAUUCUCAUCUUUCUUUGAGACUCUUGCUAAC